RNAcentral lists this ribosomal RNA (370 nucleotides) under uncultured bacterium. RNAcentral's name for it is "bacterial SSU rRNA". It matches the Rfam family "Bacterial small subunit ribosomal RNA", at positions 527 to 896 of the family's 1533-position model. The record is from RNAcentral.
GUAGGGUGCGAGCGUUAAUCGGAAUUACUGGGCGUAAAGCGUGCGCAGGCGGUUUUGUAAGCCAGAUGUGAAAUCCCCGGGCUUAACCUGGGAAUGGCAUUUGGGACUGCAAGGCUGGAGUGUGGCAGAGGAGACUGGAAUUCCCGGUGUAGCAGUGAAAUGCGUAGAUAUCGGGAGGAAUACCGAUGGCGAAGGCAGGUCUCUGGGCUGACACUGACGCUCAUGCACGAAAGCGUGGGGAGCAAACAGGAUUAGAUACCCUGGUAGUCCACGCCCUAAACGAUGUCGACUGGUUGUUGGGGGUUUGACACUCUCAGUAACGAAGCUAACGCGUGAAGUCGACCGCCUGGGGAGUACGGCCGCAAGGUUA